Molecule: non-coding RNA, 795 nt
Filed under: Carbula sinica
Lineage: Eukaryota; Metazoa; Arthropoda; Insecta; Hemiptera; Pentatomidae
Source: RNAcentral
UUAAUUAGUUUAUAAAUUUAAUUUUGGUUUAUAUUUAAUAGUUUUAUGAUAAUUUUAAUAUGUAAGUAUUUGCGUGAUUUGGUAUUUAUUUAAAUAAUAGAUAUUUAUGUUUAUUCGCAGUUUUUAUUUUUGUAAUAUUUAAUAUUUUAAGAUAUGGUUAAUUGUAAAAUGACUAGCAAAAAUUGUGCCAGCAGCUGCGGUUAUACAAUUAGUCGAAAUUAUUUUGGUUAGGGAAUUAUUAGUUUUUAUGUUUAUUGAUUAUAUACUCCAGAUUUUUAAGUGAAAUUUUAAAUUUGGGUUAAAUAGUUAGGUAAUAUAAUUAUAAGAUAUUUUUAAUUGUAGACUAGGAUUAGAUACCCUAUUAUUUAAAAUGUAAAAUUUUCCUCAGUAUUAAUAGUUAAGAUCUUUAAAUUGAAAAAAUUUGACGGUAAUUUAAUCAUUUUAGAGGAACCUGUUCUGUAAUCGAUAAUCCACGAUAAAUUUUACCUUUAUUAAUUGGUUUGUAUAUCUCUGUCUUGUUGAAUGUUUUAUUAGAAUAUUUUCUUUAAAUUUUUUUAAAGGUUAUGUCAGGUCAAGGUGCAGCUAUAUAAAGGGUUGAAAUGGGUUACAUUUAAUGUUAAAAAUUAUUGAAUAAUUUUUUUUAUAGAAUAUUGAAAUUGGAUUUAAUUGUAAUGGUUAAUAUAUAUUAUUCAUGAUAUAUGUUCUUGAUUAAGUACAUAUCGCCCGUCACUCUCAUAUAUAAGAUGAGAUAAGUCGUAACAAAGUAGUUCUAUCGGAAGAUGGAGCUAGAAUAUA